RNAcentral lists this ribosomal RNA (253 nucleotides) under uncultured bacterium. RNAcentral describes it as "partial 16S ribosomal RNA". It matches the Rfam family "Bacterial small subunit ribosomal RNA", at positions 524 to 776 of the family's 1533-position model. The record is from RNAcentral.
UACAGAGGUCCCGAGCGUUGUCCGGAUUGACUGGGCGUAAAGCGCACGCAGGCGGUCUGGCGCGUGGGGUGUGAAAUCUCGCCGCUUAACGGCCAGGCGCCAUCCCAUACGGCCGGGCUGGAGCCGUGCAGAGGGCGGUGGAAUUGCCGGUGUAGUGGUGAAAUGCGUAGAGAUCGGCAGGAACACCCGGGGGGAAGCCAGCCGCCUGGGCAGGCGCUGACGCUGAGGUGCGAGAGCGUGGGGAGCGAACCGG